Molecule: ribosomal RNA, 254 nt
Filed under: uncultured bacterium
Lineage: Bacteria
Description: partial 16S ribosomal RNA
Rfam family: Bacterial small subunit ribosomal RNA
Source: RNAcentral
UACGUAGGGAGCAAGCGUUGUCCGGAUUUAUUGGGCGUAAAGAGCUCGUAGGCGGUUAAGUAAGUCAGGUGUGAAACCUCCAGGCUCAACCUGGAGACGCCACUUGAUACUGCUUUGACUUGAGUUCGGUAGGGGUAAGCGGAAUUCCCGGUGUAGCGGUGAAUGCGCAGAUAUCAGGAAGAACACCCGUGGCGAAGGCGGCUCUCUGGGACGGUACUGACGCUGAGACGCGAAAAGCGUGGGGAGCGAACAGG